GAUGGCGACCGGCGCACGGGUGAGUAACACGUAUCCAACCUGCCGAUAACUCGGGGAUAACCCUUCGAAAGAAGGCCUAAUACCCGAUGGCAUAUCCCUUCCGCCUGGUGGGGAUAUUAAAGAACUUCGGUUAUCGAUGGGGAUGCGUUCCAUUAGCUUGUUGGCGGGGUAACGGCCCACCAAGGCUUCGAUGGAUAGGGGUUCUGAGAGGAAGGUCCCCCACAUUGGAACUGAGACACGGUCCAAACUCCUACGGGAGGCAGCAGUGAGGAAUAUUGGUCAAUGGACGAGAGUCUGAACCAGCCAAGUAGCGUGAAGGAUGAAGGUCCUAUGGAUUGUAAACUUCUUUUAUACGGGAAUAAAGUGCAGUAUGCAUACUGUUUUGUAUGUACCGUAUGAAUAAGGAUCGGCUAACUCCGUGCCAGCAGCCGCGGUAAUACGGAGGAUCCGAGCGUUAUCCGGAUUUAUUGGGUUUAAAGGGAGCGUAGGCGGAUGCUUAAGUCAGUUGUGAAAGUUUGCGGCUCAACCGUAAAAUUGCAGUUGAUACUGGGCGUCUUGAGUACAGUAGAGGCAGGCGGAAUUCGUGGUGUAGCGGUGAAAUGCUUAGAUAUCACGAAGAACUCCGAUUGCGAAGGCAGCCUGCUGGACUGUCACUGACGCUGAUGCUCGAA
RNAcentral lists this ribosomal RNA (671 nucleotides) under uncultured Bacteroidales bacterium. Its description in RNAcentral is "bacterial SSU rRNA". It matches the Rfam family "Bacterial small subunit ribosomal RNA", at positions 87 to 757 of the family's 1533-position model. Lineage: Bacteria; Pseudomonadati; Bacteroidota; Bacteroidia; Bacteroidales. The record is from RNAcentral.